GGCAUUGAGUCCAGUGGGAUCCAUGAGACAACCUUCAACUCUAUCAUGAAGUGCGAUGUGGAUAUUCGCAAGGAUCUCUAUGCC
Molecule: microRNA precursor, 84 nt
Organism: Chlorocebus sabaeus (green monkey)
Lineage: Eukaryota; Metazoa; Chordata; Mammalia; Primates; Cercopithecidae
Source: Ensembl